AGCGGCGUGGCUCAGUGGAAAGAGCCCGGGCUUGGGAGUCAGAGGUCACGGGCUCGAAUCCCGACUCUGCCA
Non-coding RNA from Ornithorhynchus anatinus (platypus), 72 nucleotides. Lineage: Eukaryota; Metazoa; Chordata; Mammalia; Monotremata; Ornithorhynchidae. The record is from Rfam.